AUUGAACGCUGGCGGCAGGCCUAACACAUGCAAGUCGAGCGGAUGAAGGGAGCUUGCUCCUGGAUUCAGCGGCGGACGGAUGAGUAAUUCCUAGGAAUCUGCCUUGUAGUGGGGGAUAACGUCCGGAAACGGGCGCUAAUACCGCAUACGUCCUGAGGGAGAAAGAGGGGGAUCUUCGGACCUCACGCUAUCAGAUGAGCCUAGGUCGGAUUAGCUAGUUGGUGGGGUAAAGGCCUACCAAGGCGACGAUCCGUAACUGGUCUGAGAGGAUGAUCAGUCACACUGGAACUGAGACACGGUCAAGACUCCUACGGGAGGCAGCAGUGGGGAAUAUUGGACAAUGGGCGAAAGCCUGAUCCAGCCAUGCCGCGUGUGUGAAGAAGGUCUUCGGAUUGUAAAGCACUUUAAGUUGGGAGGAAGGGCAGUAAGUUAAUACCUUGCUGUUUUGACGUUACCAACAGAAUAAGCACCGGCUAACUUCGUG
RNAcentral lists this ribosomal RNA (484 nucleotides) under uncultured bacterium. Its description in RNAcentral is "partial 16S ribosomal RNA". It matches the Rfam family "Bacterial small subunit ribosomal RNA", at positions 30 to 507 of the family's 1533-position model. The record is from RNAcentral.